UACAGAGGUCUCAAGCGUUGUUCGGAUUCAUUGGGCGUAAAGGGUGCGUAGGUGGCGAGGUUAGUCAGGUGUGAAAUCUCGGGGCUCAACCCCGAAACUGCACUUGAUACUGCCUUGCUAGAGUACUGGAGAGGAGAUUGGAAUUUACGGUGUAGCGGUGAAAUGCGCAGAUAUCAGGAAGAACACCCGUGGCGAAGGCGGCUCUCUGGGACGGUACUGACGCUGAGACGCGAAAGCGUGGGGAGCAAACAGG
This 253-nucleotide ribosomal RNA is filed under the name uncultured bacterium. Its description in RNAcentral is "partial 16S ribosomal RNA". It matches the Rfam family "Bacterial small subunit ribosomal RNA", at positions 524 to 776 of the family's 1533-position model. The record is from RNAcentral.